RNAcentral lists this ribosomal RNA (650 nucleotides) under uncultured bacterium. Its description in RNAcentral is "bacterial SSU rRNA". It matches the Rfam family "Bacterial small subunit ribosomal RNA", at positions 54 to 749 of the family's 1533-position model. The record is from RNAcentral.
CAUGCAAGUCGAACGGGCCCUUCGGGGUCAGUGGCAGACGGGUGAGUAACGCGUGGGAACGUGCCCAUCGGUUCGGAAUAACCCAGGGAAACUUGGGCUAAUACCGGAUACGUCCUUUUUGGAGAAAGAUUUAUCGCCGAUGGAUCGGCCCGCGUCUGAUUAGCUAGUUGGUGGGGUAAUGGCCCACCAAGGCGACGAUCAGUAGCUGGUCUGAGAGGAUGAUCAGCCACACUGGGACUGAGACACGGCCCAGACUCCUACGGGAGGCAGCAGUGGGGAAUAUUGGACAAUGGGCGCAAGCCUGAUCCAGCCAUGCCGCGUGAGUGAUGAAGGCCCUAGGGUUGUAAAGCUCUUUCACCCACGACGAUAAUGACGGUAGUGGGAGAAGAAGCCCCGGCUAACUUCGUGCCAGCAGCCGCGGUAAUACGAAGGGGGCUAGCGUUGCUCGGAAUCACUGGGCGUAAAGGGCGCGUAGGCGGACCUUUAAGUCAGGGGUGAAAGCCUGUGGCUCAACCACAGAAUUGCCUUUGAUACUGAGGGUCUCGAGACCGGAAGAGGUUGGUGGAACUGCGAGUGUAGAGGUGAAAUUCGUAGAUAUUCGCAAGAACACCAGUGGCGAAAGCGGCCAACUGGUCCGGUUCUGACGCUGA